RNAcentral lists this microRNA precursor (97 nucleotides) under Tursiops truncatus (common bottlenose dolphin). Its description in RNAcentral is "microRNA 150 (ENSTTRG00000022046.1)". The stretch from base 8 to 87 matches the Rfam family "mir-150 microRNA precursor family". The record is from RNAcentral. Lineage: Eukaryota; Metazoa; Chordata; Mammalia; Artiodactyla; Delphinidae.
CCUCUCUCCUCACGGCCCUGUCUCCCAACCCUUGUACCAGUGUGUGCCUCAGUCCCUGGUACAGGCAUGGGGGUCAGGGACCUGGGGACCCAGCAGC